This 383-nucleotide ribosomal RNA is filed under the name uncultured bacterium. RNAcentral describes it as "bacterial SSU rRNA". It matches the Rfam family "Bacterial small subunit ribosomal RNA", at positions 28 to 412 of the family's 1533-position model. The record is from RNAcentral.
GACGAACGCUGGCGGCGUGCUUAACACAUGCAAGUCGAGCGGUAAGGCCCUUUCGGGGGUACACGAGCGGCGAACGGGUGAGUAACGCGUGGGUGACCUGCCCUCAGCUCUGGGAUAAGCCUGGGAAACCGGGUCUAAUACCGGAUAUGACUCCAUGACGCAUGUUGUGGGGUGGAAAGCCUUGUGCGGCUGAGGAUGGGCCCGCGGCCUAUCAGCUUGUUGGUGGGGUGAUGGCCUACCAAGGCGACGACGGGUAGCCGGCCUGAGAGGGCGACCGGCCACACUGGGACUGAGACACGGCCCAGACUCCUACGGGAGGCAGCAGUGGGGAAUCUUGCGCAAUGGGCGAAAGCCUGACGCAGCGACGCCGCGUGAGGGAUGAC